CGAAUAAGUUCCAAGGGCCGCAUGGCCCAUGGAAGAAAAGGUGGCCUCUACCUGUAAGCUAUCGCCUGAAGAGGGGUUUGCGUCUGAUUAGCUGGUUGGAGGGGUAACGGCCCACCAAGGCGACGAUCAGUAGCCGGUCUGAGAGGAUGAACGGCCACACUGGAACUGAGACACGGUCCAGACUCCUACGGGAGGCAGCAGUGGGGAAUCUUCCGCAAUGGGCGAAAGCCUGACGGAAAACGCCGCGUGAGUGAUGACGGCCUUCGGGUUGUAAAACUCUGUGAUCCGGGACGAAAAGGCAGAGUGCGAAGAACAAA
Molecule: ribosomal RNA, 317 nt
Filed under: Dialister invisus
Lineage: Bacteria; Bacillati; Bacillota; Negativicutes; Veillonellales; Veillonellaceae
Description: bacterial SSU rRNA
Rfam family: Bacterial small subunit ribosomal RNA
Source: RNAcentral